This 72-nucleotide transfer RNA is filed under the name Bos indicus (zebu cattle). It matches the Rfam family "tRNA". Rfam says of the family: Transfer RNA (tRNA) molecules are approximately 80 nucleotides in length. Their secondary structure includes four short double-helical elements and three loops (D, anti-codon, and T loops). The record is from Rfam by way of RNAcentral. Lineage: Eukaryota; Metazoa; Chordata; Mammalia; Artiodactyla; Bovidae. RNAcentral also lists the same sequence under 3 other names.
UCUCUGGUGGCUUAGAUAGUAAAGAGCCUGCCUACAAUGCAGGAGACCUGGGUUCAAUCCCUGGGUAGGGAG